GUAGGUGGCAAGCGUUGUCCGGAGUUAUUGGGCGUAAAGCGCGCGCAGGCGGUUCUUUAAGUCUGAUGUGAAAGCCCACGGCUCAACCGUGGAGGGUCAUUGGAAACUGGAGAACUUGAGUACAGAAGAGGAAAGCGGAAUUCCACGUGUAGCGGUGAAAUGCGUAGAGAUGUGGAGGAACACCAGUGGCGAAGGCGGCUUUCUGGUCUGUAACUGACGCUGAGGCGCGAAAGCGUGGGGAGCAAACAGGAUUAGAUACCCUGGUAGUCCACGCCGUAAACGAUGAGUGCUAAGUGUUAGGGGGGUUUUCCGCCCCCCUUAGUGCUGCAGCUAACGCAUUAAGCACUCCGCCUGGGAGUACGGCCGCAAGGCUG
Molecule: ribosomal RNA, 374 nt
Filed under: uncultured organism
Description: partial 16S ribosomal RNA
Rfam family: Bacterial small subunit ribosomal RNA
Source: RNAcentral